RNAcentral lists this long non-coding RNA (622 nucleotides) under Mytilus galloprovincialis (Mediterranean mussel). Lineage: Eukaryota; Metazoa; Mollusca; Bivalvia; Mytilida; Mytilidae. The record is from RNAcentral.
AUCACAUGUUAUUCCUUCAGCAAUUGCAUCACUCAAUAGAACUUAUCAUCCAUGAUAACACAUGGUCCCACAAUAAAGUGCACAGCUGAAUUAAAUAAAAAAAAUUAUACAAUUCGUUUUUCCAUGAUCAUAGCUAAAAAAUGUAAUUAUAAGUAUUGAAUGCUUCUUUUUGUAACUUCAUAGGGUUGUGAAAGCGUUGACCGUGCGCACAUUUUUAGAAUGAAGCGCUUCAGCGCUUCAUACAAAAUGUACUUCGGUCAACGCUUUUACACCCCAAUGAAGUUACAAAAAGAAGCAUUCAAUUCUUAAAUAAACUUUUACUGUGAAUCAGAAUGUAAUGUAUGAUCAUUUUGUAGAUUUGUCAUUAAACGUCAUCAUCAGUUUUUCCAUUAUCUGUUUGUUUUAACUGAUUAGCUGCCUAUUUCAGUGAGAGAAAAAAAAACAGCAACAAAUUAUAUAAAAUCCAUAAAACAUAUGUAAAUUUAUAUAUCUUUGUCAGUAUUCUUGCUAGAAUUUAAUGGCAAAGGUGCACACUUUAGAUUAAAGGUACAGUAGGGUUUUUUUUGUGUGAAAAAAACGACAAACUGAAUCAUGGUUGUCAACAGCAAAAUUAAAAUAAGAC